GGAGUUUCCCUGAUCGGAGAUGUAGAGUGCACUAGGCGGUUUGACUGAAAAUACUAGGGCUGGGACAAUCGGUGCUACUUUUUUGCUUCGCUGUUUAAUUGACGCAGUCUAAGUUCGAGCUCCACUUUCAUAUAAAUCGGUCACACUUCCGUUCACAACUCAACUACUCUGGAAUUUGCUUUUAUUUUUAGUUGCUCAUACGACACGUGCACCUCUAAUAUGUGAACCCCGCCGCUCGGCUGUGCCCAACAUAUCUGCACUCCAACAUAUAAAAUAAAUAUUAGCUACAUAUCAAAUUUAGUGUUUUUUUGUUGUUGUUUUGGUAUUAGAUCGUUCAUAGCUGUCAUUCAUUCAUUGCUUGGCGACAAGUCGCACGUAUGUCAAUAACACAUGUCAGCCGCACGUUGCCUAUUUGCGCUUUUAUUUUUCCGAGCAUUGCGAAGAAGAGCUCACAGUCAUACUGUUUGUAUUUAAGUAUUGUUUGCUGCUUAGGAGGAAGUCUAUCUCAUACAGACUGCGCUUUAGUAUGAAUGUGCAAUUUUUAAGUUUAAAUUUUAACCCGCAGAUGAUUGAUGAAUAUAUUUUAAUAACUAGAUGGGAUUAAUCAGAAUUUUAUUAAAUUUCACGUAUAAGGAAUGAUAAAUCAUUUAAAUAUCUUCAUUAAAGUGUCAAUUUUAUUUAAAUGGUUGACAUCAGCUACUCGAAUGCAGUUAGAAACAUUCAUGCUUACAUAUAUGUUUGAAAUACUGAUAUUUCCCAAAAAUUUCACGGUAUAUUAGCUUAAGCUGAAACCAGUAAGCCAAUCAAAUGAGAUUUACUUUUUUAAUUCCCACUAAAAAUAAGUUCUAUGAAAAGUGCAUAGAAUGCCGUAUGGUGCCCGAAAAUUAAAAAAAAAAUCGAGAAAUAAGAUGCGAAAAAUCCAGAAUA
Rhagoletis zephyria (snowberry fruit fly) is the source of this 927-nucleotide long non-coding RNA. RefSeq lists it as uncharacterized. The record is from RefSeq and is a predicted model, not a curated record. NCBI's taxonomy places the organism in Eukaryota, Metazoa, Arthropoda, Insecta, Diptera, Tephritidae.